Molecule: ribosomal RNA, 447 nt
Filed under: uncultured bacterium
Lineage: Bacteria
Description: partial 16S ribosomal RNA
Rfam family: Bacterial small subunit ribosomal RNA
Source: RNAcentral
AACGAACGCUAGCGGCAGGCCUAACACAUGCAAGUCGAACGCACCGCAAGGUGAGUGGCAGACGGGUGAGUAACGCGUGGGAACGUGCCCUUCGGUUCGGAAUAACCCGGGGAAACUCGGGCUAAUACCGGAUACGUCCGUAAGGAGAAAGAUUUAUCGCCGAAGGAUCGGCCCGCGUCGGAUUAGCUAGUUGGUGAGGUAACGGCUCACCAAGGCGAUGAUCCGUAGCUGGUCUGAGAGGACGAUCAGCCACACUGGGACUGAGACACGGCCCAGACUCCUACGGGAGACAGCAGUGGGGAAUAUUGGACAAUGGGCGCAAGCCUGAUCCAGCCAUGCCGCGUGAGUGAUGAAGGCCUUAGGGUUGUAAAGCUCUUUUAGCGGGGACGAUAAUGACGGUACCCGCAGAAAAAGCCCCGGCUAACUUCGUGCCAGCCGCCGCGGUAA